Long non-coding RNA from Mustela erminea (ermine), 597 nucleotides. RefSeq lists it as uncharacterized. The record is from RefSeq and is a predicted model, not a curated record. Lineage: Eukaryota; Metazoa; Chordata; Mammalia; Carnivora; Mustelidae. The transcript is spliced from 4 exons.
CAAUCUUGACAGAAGUUCUGAAGUGGCAACCAAAACACACUUCCUCCUCGACAGAUGACGCAUCCUGUCAUUUCUUUAGGAAAGUGAUUUAAUCGUUUCAAUGAAAUGCUCUUUGAAACAAAAUGAAACAUGAGCAGUUUGUGCACUUUCUACCUGCUUCUAGGCUUCUUCCACUCCCGAGUUUUGGUGAUGACAGGAUACAGGGAAAGGACAUCAAAAGCUACACUCGGGCUCUCUGUGAGAAGUGUUUCAGAAAUGUAUUUCUAAAGGGAAACGACCUGACGUUGGGAAUUUUCUCGCACUUGUUCCGUGCUGACCCAGGAAGAACUAUGAAUUGCAGACAAUAGUACUAACCACUGCGGAGUUGCUGAGUGGAUUAAAUGAACAGAUAUGUGUAAAGCUGGUGGAAAAGUGCCUGGCAAAAAAUGUUGGUGGCUAUUUGUGAAGAAGGAUACACUGAAGAUGACAACGAUGUCUAGAUUUUAAGAACUGUUGAGAUCAUCUGCUCCAAAUUGUUUACUGAUCAGGAAAUUAAAACAUAUUCAAAUUUUACUCUGUCAGGGCACUGCGGGAUGACUGCACAAUAUAAAAUAUACU